CAUUAGCCCACAGAGCUAAAGACUAUAGGCCCUAUCUGUAUGAUCUCACCAGUCCUCAGGUCAGGUUCAUCAUGGGGGGGGAAGGAAUCACUAGUCCUCAGGUCAGGUUCAUCAUGGGGGGGAAGGAAUCACUAGUCCUCAGGUCAGGUCAGGUUAAUCUAUCCUCAUGGGGGGGGGAAGGAAUCACUAGUCCUCAUAUAUGAGUCAAAGAGAGACCGUCAGCAGACAUGGAAGGAUGUGACGUCACCCUAUUCUCUAUUUAGUGCACAACUUUUGUCCAGAACUCUAUUGGUCCCUAUGGAAC
RNAcentral lists this long non-coding RNA (304 nucleotides) under Salmo salar (Atlantic salmon). Its description in RNAcentral is "lncRNA (ENSSSAG00000095524.1)". The record is from RNAcentral. Lineage: Eukaryota; Metazoa; Chordata; Actinopteri; Salmoniformes; Salmonidae.